Molecule: ribosomal RNA, 497 nt
Filed under: uncultured bacterium
Lineage: Bacteria
Description: bacterial SSU rRNA
Rfam family: Bacterial small subunit ribosomal RNA
Source: RNAcentral
CUGGCUCAGGAUAAACGCUGGCGGCGUGCCUAAUACAUGCAAGUCGAACGGACAUAAGCAAUUAUGUCAGUGGCGAACGGGUGAGUAAAACGUAAGCAACCUGCCUGUAAGGACCGGGAUAACACUUGGAAACGAGCGCUAAAACCGGAUAGGUAACGGAGGGGCAUCCCACUGUUAUUAAAGGUUGGAGACACAAACAGAUGGGCUUACGGCGCAUUAGUUAGUUGGUGAGGUAACGGCCCACCAAGACGAUGAUGCGUAGCCGGCCUGAGAGGGUGAACGGCCACAUUGGGACUGAGACACGGCCCAGACUCCUACGGGAGGCAGCAGUAGGGAAUUUUCGGCAAUGGGGGAAACCCUGACCGAGCCAACGCCGCGUGAGUGAAGACGGUCUUCGGAUUGUAAAGCUCUGUUGUAAGGGAAGAACGGUACGGACAGAAUCCGUAAGUGACGGUACCUUACGAGAAAGCCACGGCUAACUACGUGCCAGCCGCCGC